RNAcentral lists this long non-coding RNA (2449 nucleotides) under Daucus carota (carrot). RNAcentral describes it as "long non-coding RNA (DCAR_LNC000095)". The record is from RNAcentral. Lineage: Eukaryota; Viridiplantae; Streptophyta; Magnoliopsida; Apiales; Apiaceae.
GAAAGAAUUACAGAUUUCGUCAACCGUGAGUAGGUACAAUUUGGUGAAAUGUUUCAUCAUAUGGAAGCUUUAUUUUUUUUUUUUUGCCAAAAUAUGGAAGCUUUAUUAAGAGCAAAAUUAUGGGCUAAGCAUGUCACGAUAAGCUCUUCACGUGGGUCCCGUACUGAUCAAUCCACGUGGAGCCCCAUUAUCAUUGUCUCUUAUCACGUGCUUGGUCCCGAAAAACACGGUGGUUGUGUUAGAUUUAUGGAUUUCGAUGAACUUCACGACUACGAGAGCCGUUUAGUACCUAACCGUCCGAUUACAAUGUGAGAACUCUAAUAUGUUGCUGGCCGUCCGAUCCCCGCACUGGAUCAGAUCUGAGCACGUUCCCGCCAAACCCUCGUGAUUUGCUUUUUAAAUGUUGUUUCCUGCGCAAACUUUCCUGGUUAGGCAUAAAUGUUUCAAAAUCUUUCAUUUAAUUUAGAUUUUCGAUUCGGGUUAAUUAUCAAGUUGGUCACUGAAGUGGGCUUAAUGUAUCAAGUUGGUCACUGAACUCAAAACGGUAUCAAGAUGCUCACCAAAGUCACCAUAAAUAUCAAACAAGCACCUUGAAAUAUGAGUUCAAGCAGUAAAAAUAUUAUUUAUAAAGUUUUACACAUUAUUUUUAAAUGUUACCACAACCAACUAAAAGGUUAUGACUUCUAGUAUUUAAAAUAAUAUAUUUAUAUUCUAUCAAGUUUAUUUAUUAUUUAUAUUUUAUUAUAUAGUAAUUUCUUUGUUUUAAUUAAAAAUAAAUAAUAAAUAAACUUGAUAAAAUCUAAAUAUAUUAUCAUAAAUAUUAGAAGUCAUAACUUUUUACUUGGUUUUGGUAACAUUCAAAAAUAAUCUGUAAAACUUUAUAAAUAAUAUUUUUACUGCUUGAACUCAUAUUUCAAGUACUUGUUUGAUAUUUAUGGCCACUUAGUGACCAUCUUGAUACCGUUUUGAGUUCAGUGACCAACUUGAUACAUUAAGCCCAUUUCAGUGACCAACUUGAUAAUUAACCCUUUCCGAUUCAUCGAUUAUAAUAUGAUGGGCACAAACUGCCACAAACUGCCGUUUUAUCAAAAAGAUUGUUUAUAAAUUUCUGAUAUUAUUAAUCAAUUAAUUUUAAUUUUCAAAUUAUAGUUUUUAAAUAUUUUAUUAGCCUUUUAUUAUAUUUCGAACAGUUACAUAACAAAAUCGUGCAAAAAUAAAAACUUCACAGGUAGCAUCUUAAAAUUUCGUGAUCAGAUUCAGAAUAUUGAAAUUAAGAUCAGACACUAGGUAAAAAAGUGUUGUAUUUUCCUGUACGAUGUAGCGGGAAAACCUCAAACAUGUACCAUGUUUGCCCGCCAAGAUCUCGAAGGUGCGGGGCCCACAAAGAUCGUAGGACGGCGACCGAAUGUGGUCCACCACCUUUGUUACCAGAUUACGAUUGGAGAGGUGUAAACGAAGAUAAAAGUGUUAAACUGUUAAUGAGUGAUUUAAAGUUCCAAAUUUGGGUUGGUUUCGGACUAAAUUCUCGCAACAGUGGUUUAAAUAUUGGUCCAAAUUUAGACCGUUGGACCGAUGAACAGUGACGGUCUAAAUUUAGGCCGGCACUAUUCAUCGGCCUAAAUCUCUUUAAUAAUAUAAUAAUAACUUUUUAUUUUUUGUAUAUUUAGUUAAUUAAAUGAUUUUAUGUUAAUAUAAUUAUUAAAUAUUUAUAAAUUAUAUUUAAUAUAUUUUACUUAAAUAAUCAUAUAUAUAUAUUAAUUAUGAAAUAUAAUAAAUUAAAUAAUCUUAAAAUAAUUCAAAUUAAUAACAAAUUAAAAUGUUCGAUUUUAACAUCCUGGACGACAUCAAAAAAUAAAAAAUAAAAAAACUCAUAUUGCACUUCGAGAUGCAUUAAUUGAGCAUUUGUGUGAACAAUAUAUUAAUUCGGAGUAGCAUUGAAUCUUUCUAAAUUUUAUUUUAGUUAGUUAAAUAAAAUAUUAAAUUUUCUCUUAUUUUCUUUGUUUAAACUGAAAUAUUGAAUCUGUUAGGUCCAAAGUAUCGUAGAAGGGGGGGUUGAAUACGAUACUCACUACAAUUUAAAAUUCUUUCGAAUCUUGCGGAUAAAUAAAUUGCAGUCCUGUAAUGGGUUUCGUGUUCCGGAAAUUUAUUGGGUCGGUUUCUGAGGAUAUGAAAAUAUUAAACCAACACACAAUAUUUUCCAAGGUAUAUCUGUAUAUUGAUAAAUACCUCGAAGGUGCUACAAAUCCAAACCCGAAGGUUGGCUACAAUGACCACUCCUCUAAAUAUUACAAGCCCUAUCCACUACAAAUAUUUAUGGUACAAAACUAGGCUAGGGUGUGUGUAUAUUUGAGAGAGUUUGUGCAAAGCACUUGGCCAUCCAUCCCGAAGGAUGAUGUGAAUUGUGAGAACCACAAUCACAUAUUUAUAGGCUUUCAUAAACUAACCAUGG